UUGACACAGGUGAUGAGGAGAGAAUCCUAAGGCCGGCGGAAGAAGCAUUGUUAAGGAACUCGGCAAAAUGACCCCGUAACUUCGGGAGAAGGGGUGCCUGCUAACGCAGGCCGCAGAGAAUAGGCUCAAGCAACUGUUUAGCAAAAACACUGGUCUAUGCGAAACCGAAAGGUGAAGUAUAUGGGCUGACGCCUGCCCGGUGCUGGAAGGUUAAGAGGAGAGGUUAGCGUAAGCGAAGCUUUGAAUUUAAGCCCCAGUAAACGGCGGCCGUAACAAUAACGGUCCUAAGGUAGCGAAAUUCCUUGUCGGGUAAGUUCCGACCCGCACGAAAGGCGUAAUGAUUUGAGCACUGUCUCGACAAUGCAUCCGGUGAAAUUGAAGUACCAGUGAAGAUGCUGGUUACCCGCGCCAGGACGGAAAGACCCCAUGGAGCUUUACUCCAGUUUGGUACUGGGAUUCGGUACUGCAUGUACAGGAUAGGUGGGAGACUAAGAACUUGGGACGCCAGUUUCAAGGGAGUCGCUGUUGGGAUACCACCCUUGCAGUAUUGGAUUUCUAACCAGCCGCCGUGAUCCGGCGGUGGGACAAUGCCAGGCGGGGAGUUUGACUGGGGCGGUCGCCUCCGAAAGGGUAUCGGAGGCGCUCAAAGGUUCCCUCAGAAUGGUUGGAAACCAUUUGAAGAGUGCAAAGGCAGAAGGGAGCUUGACUGCGACACCGACGGGUGGAGCAGGUAGGAAACUAGGACUUAGUGAUCCGGUGGCAUAAAGUGGGAUUGCCAUCGCUCAACGGAUAAAAGCUACCCUGGGAUAACAGGCUUAUCACUCCCAAGAGUUCACGUCGACGGAGUGGUUUGGCACCUCGAUGUCGGCUCAUCGCAUCCUGGGGCUGUAGCAGGUCCCAAGGGUUGGGCUGUUCGCCCAUUAAAGCGGUACGCGAGCUGGGUUCAGAACGUCGUGAGACAGUUCGGUCCCUAUCCGGCGCGGGCGGAGGAUAUUUGAGAGGAGCUGUCCUUAGUACGAGAGGACCGGGAUGGACGGACCACUGGUGUAUCUGCUGUCGACCAACGGCAUGGCAGAGUAGCCAAGUCCGGAAGAGAUAAACGCUGAAGGCAUCUAAGCGUGAAGCCCCCCUCAAGAUGAGAUAUCCCUCACAUAAGUGAGUAAGAUCCCUUGAAGACUACAAGGUAGAUAGGGCAGAGGUGGAAGCACGGUAACGUGUGGAGCUGACUGUUACUAAUCGAUCGAGGGCUUGACCG
Molecule: ribosomal RNA, 1255 nt
Filed under: metagenome
Description: bacterial LSU rRNA
Rfam family: Bacterial large subunit ribosomal RNA
Source: RNAcentral